GUCGGGAUAGCUCAGUU
This 17-nucleotide transfer RNA is filed under the name Moringa oleifera (horseradish tree). RNAcentral's name for it is "partial tRNA-Phe". Lineage: Eukaryota; Viridiplantae; Streptophyta; Magnoliopsida; Brassicales; Moringaceae. The record is from RNAcentral. RNAcentral also lists the same sequence under 24 other names.